RNAcentral lists this ribosomal RNA (453 nucleotides) under uncultured bacterium. RNAcentral describes it as "bacterial SSU rRNA". It matches the Rfam family "Bacterial small subunit ribosomal RNA", at positions 340 to 786 of the family's 1533-position model. The record is from RNAcentral.
UACGGGAGGCAGCAGUGGGGAAUAUUGCACAAUGGGCGCAAGCCUGAUGCAGCCAUGCUGCGUGUAUGAAGAAGGCCUUCGGGUUGUAAAGUACUUUCAGUCGUGAGGAAGGUGUUAAGGUUAAUAACCUUAGCAAUUGACGUUAGCGACAGAAGAAGCACCGGCUAACUCCGUGCCAGCAGCCGCGGUAAUACGGAGGGUGCGAGCGUUAAUCGGAAUUACUGGGCGUAAAGGGCACGCAGGCGGUUAAUUAAGUUGGAUGUGAAAUCCCCGGGCUUAACCUGGGAAUGGCAUUCAAGACUGGUUAGCUAGAGUCUUGUAGAGGGGGUAGAAUUCCAUGUGUAGCGGUGAAAUGCGUAGAGAUGUGGAGGAAUACCGGUGGCGAAGGCGGCCCCUGGGACAAAGACUGACGCUCAUGUGCGAAAGCGUGGGGAGCAAACAGGAUUAGAUACC